AUUGAACGCUGGCGGCAUGCUUUACACAUGCGAGUCGAACGGUAACAGGUCUUCGGAUGCUGACGAGUGGCGAACGGGUGAGUAAUACAUCGGAACGUGCCUAGUAGUGGGGGAUAACUACUCGAAAGAGUAGCUAAUACCGCAUGAGAUCUACGGAUGAAAGCAGGGGACCUUCGGGCCUUGUGCUACUAGAGCGGCUGAUGGCAGAUUAGGUAGUUGGUGGGGUAAAGGCUUACCAAGCCUGCGAUCUGUAGCUGGUCUGAGAGGACGACCAGCCACACUGGGACUGAGACACGGCCCAGACUCCUACGGGAGGCAGCAGUGGGGAAUUUUGGACAAUGGGCGAAAGCCUGAUCCAGCAAUGCCGCGUGCAGGAUGAAGGCCCUCGGGUUGUAAACUGCUUUUGUACGGAACGAAAAGCCUGGGGCUAAUAUCCCCGGGUCAUGACGGUACCGUAAGAAUAGGCACCGGCUAACUACGUG
Molecule: ribosomal RNA, 482 nt
Filed under: uncultured bacterium
Lineage: Bacteria
Description: partial 16S ribosomal RNA
Rfam family: Bacterial small subunit ribosomal RNA
Source: RNAcentral